Molecule: ribosomal RNA, 253 nt
Filed under: uncultured bacterium
Lineage: Bacteria
Description: partial 16S ribosomal RNA
Rfam family: Bacterial small subunit ribosomal RNA
Source: RNAcentral
AACGUAGGUACCGAGCGUUAUCCGGAUUUACUGGGCGUAAAGCGUGUUCAGGCGGCCGCGCAAGUCGGGCAUGAAAUCUCUCGGCUCAACCGGGAGGGGUUGUCCGAUACUGCGCGGCUGGAGGGCAGUAGAGGGUGGUGGAAUUCCGGGUGUAGUGGUGAAAUGCGUAGAGAUCCGGAGGAACACCAGUGGCGCAAGCGGCCACCUGGACUGUACCUGACGCUCAAACACGAAAGCUAGGGGAGCGAACGGG